AGAUAGUCCUGAUAGAAGCGGUAUUUCUUUUGGAAGAGAUGAAAUAUGUCUAAGGAGCAAGGUUUUCCCAAAAGGAUUGCAACGGACAGGACUGCCC
This 97-nucleotide small RNA is filed under the name Pedobacter suwonensis. RNAcentral's name for it is "Flavo-1 RNA". Lineage: Bacteria; Pseudomonadati; Bacteroidota; Sphingobacteriia; Sphingobacteriales; Sphingobacteriaceae. The record is from RNAcentral.